Molecule: non-coding RNA, 110 nt
Filed under: Hominimerdicola alba
Lineage: Bacteria; Bacillati; Bacillota; Clostridia; Eubacteriales; Oscillospiraceae
Description: SAM riboswitch (S box leader)
Rfam family: SAM riboswitch aptamer (S box leader)
About the family: The SAM riboswitch is found upstream of a number of genes which code for proteins involved in methionine or cysteine biosynthesis in Gram-positive bacteria.
Source: RNAcentral
CUUAUCAAGAGUGGUGGAGGAAUCAGGUCCUGUGAAGCCCGGCAACCUGUGUGCUGUAUUAUGCAGUUCGUCAAGGUGCCAAAUCCUGCGGUUAUUUCCGAAAGAUGAGG